UAGGGAAUCUUCCGCAAUGGGCGAAAGCCUGACGGAGCAACGCCGCGUGAGUGAUGAAGGUCUUCGGAUCGUAAAACUCUGUUAUUAGGGAAGAACAAAUGUGUAAGUAACUAUGCACGUCUUGACGGUACCUAAUCAGAAAGCCACGGCUAACUACGUGCCAGCAGCCGCGGUAAUACGUAGGUGGCAAGCGUUAUCCGGAAUUAUUGGGCGUAAAGCGCGCGUAGGCGGUUUUUUAAGUCUGAUGUGAAAGCCCACGGCUCAACCGUGGAGGGUCAGUGGAAACUGGAAAACUGGAGUGCAGAAGAGGAAAGUGGAAUUCCAUGUGUAGCGGUGAAAUGCGCAGAGAUAUGGAGGAACACCAGUGGCGAAGGCGACUUUCUGGUCUGUAACUGACGCUGAUGUGCGAAAGCGUGGGGAUCAAACAGG
RNAcentral lists this ribosomal RNA (429 nucleotides) under Actinomycetes bacterium. RNAcentral's name for it is "Actinobacteria bacterium partial 16S ribosomal RNA". It matches the Rfam family "Bacterial small subunit ribosomal RNA", at positions 355 to 776 of the family's 1533-position model. The record is from RNAcentral. Lineage: Bacteria; Bacillati; Actinomycetota; Actinomycetes.